This 232-nucleotide ribosomal RNA is filed under the name uncultured bacterium. RNAcentral's name for it is "partial 16S ribosomal RNA". It matches the Rfam family "Bacterial small subunit ribosomal RNA", at positions 15 to 237 of the family's 1533-position model. The record is from RNAcentral.
GAUCAUGGCUCAGGAUGAACGCUAGCUACAGGCUUAACACAUGCAAGUCGAGGGGCAGCAUGGUCUUAGCUUGCUAAGGCCGAUGGCGACCGGCGCACGGGUGAGUAACGCGUAUCCAACCUGCCUUACACUCUUGGACAGCCUUCUGAAAGGGAGAUUAAUACAAGAUGUUAUCAUGAGUAAGCAUUUUCGCAUGAUUAAAGGUUUACCGGUGUAAGAUGGUGGAUGUCCG